This 525-nucleotide ribosomal RNA is filed under the name uncultured bacterium. RNAcentral describes it as "bacterial SSU rRNA". It matches the Rfam family "Bacterial small subunit ribosomal RNA", at positions 992 to 1518 of the family's 1533-position model. The record is from RNAcentral.
CGACAACCCUAGAGAUAGGGCUUCUCCUUCGGGAGCAGAGUGACAGGUGGUGCAUGGUUGUCGUCAGCUCGUGUCGUGAGAUGUUGGGUUAAGUCCCGCAACGAGCGCAACCCUUGAUCUUAGUUGCCAUCAUUUAGUUGGGCACUCUAGGGUGACUGCCGGUGACAAACCGGAGGAAGGUGGGGAUGACGUCAAAUCAUCAUGCCCCUUAUGACCUGGGCUACACACGUGCUACAAUGGACGGUACAAAGAGCUGCAAGACCGCGAGGUGGAGCUAAUCUCAUAAAACCGUUCUCAGUUCGGAUUGUAGGCUGCAACUCGCCUACAUGAAGCUGGAAUCGCUAGUAAUCGCGGAUCAGCAUGCCGCGGUGAAUACGUUCCCGGGCCUUGUACACACCGCCCGUCACACCACGAGAGUUUGUAACACCCGAAGUCGGUGGGGUAACCUUUUGGAGCCAGCCGCCUAAGGUGGGACAGAUGAUUGGGGUGAAGUCGUAACAAGGUAACCAAGGGCGAAUUCGCGGC